CAAUAGCGUAUAUUGAAGUUGUUGCGGUUAAAAAGCUCGUCGUUGGAUUUCUGUUGAGGUCGAACCGUGCCGCCCUAUGGGUGCGCAACUGGCUCGGCUUCGGCAUCUUCUUGGAGAGCGCAUCUGCACUUAACUGUGUGGAUCGUACUUCAAGUCAGUUACUUUGAGGAAUUGUGAGUGUUUCAAGCAGGCUUACGCCGUUGAAUCCGUUAGCAUGGAAUAAUAGGAUAGGACCUCGGUUCUAUUUUGUUGGUUUUGAGAGCUGGGGCAGCGAUUGAUAGGGACGGAUGGGGGCGUCCGAACUUUACUGUCAGAGGUGAAAUUCUUAGAUCGGUCAAAGGCGAACUACUGCGAACGCAUUCGCCAAGAAUGUUUUCUUUA
This 381-nucleotide ribosomal RNA is filed under the name uncultured eukaryote. Its description in RNAcentral is "partial 18S ribosomal RNA". It matches the Rfam family "Eukaryotic small subunit ribosomal RNA", at positions 592 to 975 of the family's 1831-position model. The record is from RNAcentral.